Pseudopipra pipra is the source of this 6272-nucleotide long non-coding RNA. RefSeq lists it as uncharacterized. Lineage: Eukaryota; Metazoa; Chordata; Aves; Passeriformes; Pipridae. The record is from RefSeq and is a predicted model, not a curated record. The transcript is spliced from 2 exons.
CCCUCACCAUCCCCUCACGGCCAUCUCCCCGGGGGUCCCGGGGGCUCCCCCGCCUCGCGGCGGCCCCCGGCGGCAGCUGCCCCGGCCCCGGUGCCUGCGCGGGGCUGAGCCCUCGGCCCCGCGGCCUCCGCGGCUGCUCCCGCCCGGGCCAUUGUGUACAAAGGCGUUCGCCCCUCAGCCUUCGGGGCCCGGGAGGACAGAGCGAGGGGUGCGAGCCGCGUUCCUCCCGGCGUGAAGUGUGUGGUUCGUGGAGGGGAGAGAACAGGCGACCGGGUCAUCACGCGAGGCGCAGGCACUUUGUGCAUCGUGCUGUACAAAAAUGGCUCGGUGCCAUUUUCCAGAGGCCCCAGAUGGAGCCUUUGGAGGGGUCUGUGCCUCGCCCGCCGGCUGCCAGUGUGAAAGAGGAGCUGCCACAGCGGAUCUUGGCUGCAGGACAGACAGUUCACAACAAACUGCCACUGCCUGUACAAUGGUGGGACUAGGGGCAGCUGGAGUUUUGAAUGUCCUGAAAGAUUCCUGGCUUGCCAGUGUUCCCAGAGUCUUCCACUGCUCCCACCCGAAUGGAGCAUCCUCUUUCUUCAGUGCCCAAAGCGGAUGCCAGCCCAUAGCCUCCUCCCCAGUGUCCCUUGCUGUUCUUUCACGGGUAGAGCUGUAACAGCUGACAGUGACAUAAUAUCAUUGCAGCUACAAACAGCUACUGGAGGUCAAGGAGCUUCUCUCCUGCUCUUCUCAUCAACCACCCUGCCCUCCAUCUCUCCUUAUUUUGCUCAGUAUCAGCACAUCAUCACAAUGCCUUUGUCAUACAAAAUAGCAGGAAGAAGAUGGUUUAAAGGAAGAAUGAAAAACGGGGUGGGGGGACAGCCUAUGAUGUGUGGCUGGUCUGAGAAGCAUCCCUUCGAAAAGUGUUUCAGGCAUUAUAAUUGUGCUCUCAUCUCUCUAAACGGCCAGACUUGGUCUGUGUUUUAACGCAGCCAAACUCGGUGUCUCCCAAGACACCUCUCAUUACCUGUCAGUGCAGCACACGGUCAAAUGCAGCCUUGUCCUGACUGUGCUCCCUGAGUGCUAAUUACACCCUGAAUACCGUUCAGUGGGGCAGUUUUGCUUAACAAAGACUCCCUGCUGGGUAAGUACCCUAUAGUCCCUGAUUGCCCUUAACCCAAGGAUAUGGAUACAGUCCUUACUAGGCCAUCUGCCGUGGUUCCUCUUUCACAGCUGACACGCUCUGCUUUCCUUGUGUUCUCACCCACACACAUCAUCUCCCUCCCACCUCCUCCUCUGCGUUCACAUCACAGUGGAGCUCUGCUCCCUUUUGCCUUGCCGGUGGUGCUACCCACACAAAAACCCUUCCCAUGUGCUCUGCAGAGCACUCAACAGAACUGGUCCUCCAGUCCUUGACUCUUCCCACUCUCUUUUACUGUCACACACACAAGUUUUAUAUAAAUACCCCCCCCAAUAUUUCUGUUGAUAUGAGCAACAAAGGCCCCUGUGAAAUUUAAAGAACCCACAACAUUGUCUCCUGGGACUGAUGGAAGGUUACAAGGUGUACGGAGCUGGGGGUUGGAACAAGAUGAUCUUUAAGGUCGCUUCCAACUCAAACCGUUCUGUGAUUCUAUGAUUCUCCAAGGGCAGAUAGAAGGAACCAUCUGGGAGAGCAGUGUAGGUAACUUUCUAUGCUCUUCUACUAUCAUUGCUCACUUUGUCUGGUUUGAAGGGAAUCUCCGUAUUUUGUGCUUUUGAAGAAAGCCUUCGAAACACCAGUGGUGAGAAUUUCUGGAGUGGGAGCUGCCUGAAUUUGCAAAGGGCCUGAACAAUUUGUCCAUGGAACAGGAGACUGCUGUUGAUCAUUUUUAUUGUUGACAUUGACUGGCUCACCUCCCACCAAAACACAGAUUUAUCAUAUUGCACACCUGCUGGGUCUACAAAGAACACCCAUUUUUAAAGCACACAGUGUGUCACGACUGUCUAGAAGUUGCUACAGAAGCCUGAGAAACUGCACUACAUGAACUACCUCACUGAAACAAGCCUUGGCUUAGAUUUUAUUCCCUUUGCCUGCUUUGUGAUUUAUUUAUUUAUAUGUAGUAUGAUAAAAAGCACCUUUUCAGAGCUCCUCUGUCUUUGUGAUUAAUGUAAACAGUUCAUAUUCUUACAUUUUUGUACUCUUACUUCAGUUUGACACUCUGACUCUGUAAUCAAUUUUAGCAACCUCAAGAGACUAUUUGCAGAAGAUAUUUCUGAGUGAUUGAGAAUAUAAACACUUAACUUGUUUAUGCAGCAGAGAUGAUGGAGAAGGAAAUAUUGCCUGGGAGGGGGCAGAGCUGUGUGGGAAGGGUUGUGGCUGGUGAUAAUCCUCUUAAACUUUGAUAAGUGUUUUCACUUUGGGACAGCUAUCUUAAUUCUGAAUGCGUCACCCCAUUUGUCACUGGUGUGUUUAUUUGUUGUUGUGUGUUUAUUGGAUACUGAGAAUGCAUGUCCUUGGUUACUGCAGCCUUCUGAAAUAUCCCUGUAGGACGUCUUGUGCCCUGCCAGCAGAUCCCUGCUCUUUUCCUUCCACCUUUACCUGAUCAAAAGAAGCACAGAUUCCUCAGACAUGGAGUUAUUUCUCUGAAGGGUCUAUCUGAGCCUCCUUCAGCUGCUCAGCCUCCUCUCUCUUUGCAGCCUAUAUGACCAAUCCAUGCUUCUGAACUCCCUGCCCUCAGGGUACAGUCACACACACAUACCUGUGCUGUGGGUCAUGCUGUUGGCAUUCUUGCCUUCCCCCUCAGAUGGGCAGUGACCUCCUACCAAAUGCACUCAGAGCUCAUCUCACUUUUAAUGCAACCCACAGCCCUGGUAGAGUAUUAGCUGAGUAGUCCCAGCAGAGUAUUAGCUGUGAUUCCAGAGGGCUGACCUGCCCCUCAGGGAUUGCUAUAAUCCACUGUCACCGUUCCCAUGUGAGAGAUGACUCACUGCAGCACUGAGGGGGGUUUGGACCAGGUCUGUGCUUUUACUUGCUCUGGUUUCCAGCCACUAGAAGGAUACUCAGCUUCCCUGUAAUUCAAAAUUAGCCCAUCAAGAUCAGAAACUUCUGAGAUUGACCACAAACUGCUGCUGGAACCUGGAACCACGGUGUGUUUGAUACCUGUUUCGUGCAUUGAUCUUACUGAUCCCCCUUUAUCUCCUUAACCACCAGAGACCUACAGUUUGUUUUCAGCACGAUUCAAAACCUGACUUGGUUGAACCGAGCUGCUGUUUUACACUCAGCCUUUAUCUCCCACAGGUGAACAGGAUUCAUUCCAUUUUCAGUCACUCUUUGCUUUGACAUCCAAGUCAUGAUAACUGGGAUAUUCCCCCUCUUUUGAACAUUUCUUCCUGCCUUGACAUUCCCAAGGCACUGGUGACUCCAUAUUCAUUGCCAGGCAUGUUGUUCUGUAGCAGAGCUACCAACUGGUGCUAAUAUGUUAUAGCGAGAUUAAUUCUUCCAGGGCACAAGAAGUGGAUGUCUGGGAUUCAGUUCCCAGGCUGGUAGACAGAGAUAAUUUAGUACCAAGAAUUUACUUUGUUCUAAAUCUUUCUAGUCAGGCGACCUCUUAUUUUCUUCCUCAAAAUUAUAUUUGUGCCAACCAACUUUUUCAAACAUGUGUGCCAUUUUAGUCACUGCUUUCUUCUAGAGAAAUGCCAACUAUGGAAAUUUUUAUCAGUACUUAUACCCCCUAUCAGAAAAUGUUCAAUUGCUUUGAAAAUAUUUUAAAUAAAGUGUCACUUUUUUUAAAAAAAAAGGCAACCUUUUUAUUUUAAAACUGGAAAACAAGAGCCACUAUGAUAACUGCACCUUUUUAACCAAGUUGUGACAUCAUUUAUACAUUCAUAAUGGAUGCUGUGACAAAAGAAAAAAGCCAAAGUCUGCAAAAUCAUUAUUAAUCUGUAGAUAAGGGAUAAUAUUAACCUCCAAUACAAUGCAUUUCAAAACUUGCUUCUUCUAAAUAAAAUCUAAGUGCUGUUUUGAUUUAUGAAACCAGUAGCCCAACAGCAGUAUGACACAGUGACAUCAGGAAACAUAACUGCUUGUUUCCCAGCAAUAUGGAAGAAACGUGAUAUAAAAUAGGCCUGGACACACCCUGGAGCACCAGGGAACAGGCAGACCUGUGUGGCCACAGCUGCUCCCAGCACAACCUGCUUCCAGGUUGUCCAUUAAGCAAAUCAGGCCAUUCCUUUUGGAUAUUCCAAAUGCUGCAUUUUUAAUGUCAAAGUGGCUGGGGAAAGUUCUGCGUUACAGCACAAAGAAAAUAUUAAAUCCAAGGGCUAUGAUUUAUAUUAUUAAGUCCAGGAAUUCAAAAUUACAUCCCGUGCUGAUCAGUUCAAUGGCUCCUGGUAGCUGGGGUAAAGCUUGGCAGAUAGUCAUGUAGUAAUAACUUACAUUUCUUAUAUUUAGUUAUUAAAUCCCGUUGCUCCCCAACAUUAAUUUUCCAUGUAAGCAAUAGCUGUAGUUGCCAGAGGGAUUUUAUGUAAUUGCAGAUGGUAGGAGACAUAGUUGGUAAUUGCAGAAAUGCAGAGGGAGAUGUCCAGGAGAUGAUCUUCUAUUAAGAUGUGGCCGUUGCUAUGGAAUACUUUCCUAACUGCUGUUCUGCAUGGGAGUGCUAUGAUGCAUCAUUUCAUAUAAGAGGUUAUUUUUAAAGCAGACCCAUUUCUUUGCCUGCAAAAGCAAAAUCAGAUCACCUCUCUGGGGAAUAUUAAUUAAAAAAGCUUCUGUGCUGGACAGCAGACAUUAUAUAGAUUAUGGUUCAUGAAGGAGUCAAGAGAAUUAGAGUCCACCACAAUACCAGGCAGCAAUGAAAUCCGAGGCUCCAUCUAAUGAGACAAACCCUUCUCUUCAAAUUAAACAAAACUUCUCUGGCAGAUAUGAAGAUCAUGGGCUGUCAUAGCAAACAAAAGCUUCCUGGGGGGUCAUGUCCUCAGUGUAACCUGAGCUUCAUAAAUUCAUUCCUAUCAGAGACAGCCCAGCAUUCCUUCUGUUCGUUUGGAGGUGUGUGGAGAAAGGAUAGAAUGAGGAAGUGAUGGUGCUGCAUGUUUGUGAUGGACACAGAAGUGUGUUCAUGUCACAAGUGGUGCCAGCUGACGUGGGCAGCCUGGGGUGUGCUGAAGCACCUGAGGAGUUCUGGGAAUGCAGUAGCUGCCCAAUUGCUUUGUAAGAACAGUUUCCAUCUCCAUCCCUCUUUGGGAACUGUGGAAUCAUGGGAUAGUUUGGGUUGGAAGCGACCUUAAAGCUUGUCUUGCUCCAACACCUUCCACUAGCCCAGGUCUCAUCCAGGCUAGAUGAACACUUCCAGGGAUGGGGCAUCCACAGCUUCUCCAAGCAACCUGUGCCAAAGCCUCCCCACCCUCAUAGGGAAGAAUUUCCUCCUAAAAUCCAUUCUUAAUGUCCCCUCUUUCAGUUUAAAACCAUUCUCCCUUGUCCUAUCACUAUCUGCCCAUGUAACAAGUUUCUCUCCAUCUUUUUAUAAGCUCCCUUUAAGUACUGAGAGUCCACAAUAAGGUCUCCCUGGAGCCUUCUCCAGGUUGAACACCCCCAGCUCUCUCAGCCUGUCUCCAUAGCAGAGGUGCUCCAGCCCCCUGAGCAUCCUCAUGGUCUCCUCUGGAAAGGUUAAGAAAACAGUGAUAAAUUAUAAAUUCAGUAAUGCUGGCUCAACAACUGCCAUGUCACUGCUGGUGCUCUGGAAUUCAAUGGAAACACUGAAUUCAGUAAUAGACAGUUCUGGUGCAUGAUUUGCUCAUCUUAAAAAUCUACAUGUCAGGAAGUGCCCGUGCGGUGACCAGAGCAUGUGAAGUUUUUCCCAUGACAUGGGCAGGAAAACUUUAAAAUAAGGAAAAAACAAAGCAACAUCUCCCUCUAUGGGAAUCACCUGGACUGCACUGCUCUUACUAAUUCCUCUGAUGACAUUUUUGUCUGUAAAAAAAUGGCUUAUUGAAAGCACUGGGGUGAAUAUCAGUGAGAAAUGGGCCAGGAUAUUUGUUUGGAAGUGCUUAGAGGGUUAUUCUGAAGCUUGUGGAUUAACCAGGCAAGCAGAAUUAGUCUCAAGUGUCAGUUGACCUGUCCCACAAAUUGAGCCAUGGAAAGUAAAGCAUUCUCUGGGUAUCAGUUGUGGUGAAUACUUUCCAAAGACUUCAUGUAAUAGAAAUAUGGUCACAAUAACUGUAUAUUGGGUAAUAAAUGAAUAUGAAAUAUGAAUAUGAAGCAAAAUGAAAACCUACGUCUUUCUAUGUACUCUUUUGGAAAGAAAAUAGUGUUUGAUGACUUC